Triticum aestivum (bread wheat) is the source of this 126-nucleotide non-coding RNA. The record is from Rfam. Lineage: Eukaryota; Viridiplantae; Streptophyta; Magnoliopsida; Poales; Poaceae.
UACAUACUUCAUCCGUCUGAAAAAGCUUGUCUCUUAAAUAGAUGUAUCUAGCACAAAGUUAGUGCUAGAUACAUCCAUUCAAAAAACAAGCUUGGGACAAGCUUUUUCGAACCAAGGGAGUAGGAC